AGAGUUUGAUCCUGGCUCAGAACGAACGCUGGCGGCAUGCCUAAUACAUGCAAGUCGAACGAUCUCUUCGGAGAUAGUGGCGCACGGGUGCGUAACGCGUGGGAAUCUGCCCUUGGGUUCGGAAUAACAUCGGGAAACUGAUGCUAAUACCGGAUGAUGACGUAAGUCCAAAGAUUUAUCGCCCAGGGAUGAGCCCGCGUAGGAUUAGCUAGUUGGUGAGGUAAAGGCUCACCAAGGCGACGAUCCUUAGCUGGUCUGAGAGGAUGAUCAGCCACACUGGGACUGAGACACGGCCCAGACUCCUACGGGAGGCAGCAGUAGGGAAUAUUGGACAAUGGGGGCAACCCUGAUCCAGCAAUGCCGCGUGAGUGAUGAAGGCCUUAGGGUUGUAAAGCUCUUUUACCCGGGAUGAUAAUGACAGUACCGGGAGAAUAAGCCCCGGCUAACUCCGUGCCAGCAGCCGCGGUAAUACGGAGGGGGCUAGCGUUGUUCGGAAUUACUGGGCGUAAAGCGCACGUAGGCGGCGAUUUAAGUCAGAGGUGAAAGCCCGGGGCUCAACCCCGGAACUGCCUUUGAGACUGGAUUGCUUGAACAUCGGAGAGGUGAGUGGAAUUCCGAGUGUAGAGGUGAAAUUCGNANNUAUUCGGAAGAACACCAG
Molecule: ribosomal RNA, 658 nt
Filed under: Sphingobium quisquiliarum
Lineage: Bacteria; Pseudomonadati; Pseudomonadota; Alphaproteobacteria; Sphingomonadales; Sphingobiaceae
Description: bacterial SSU rRNA
Rfam family: Bacterial small subunit ribosomal RNA
Source: RNAcentral